GACAGAGGGUGCAAACGUUGUUCGGAAUUACUGGGCGUAAAGCGCGUGUAGGCGGUCCGAUAAGUCGGGUGUGAAAGCCCUGGGCUCAACCCAGGAAGUGCACUCGAAACUGACGGGCUAGAGUACUGGAGAGGUUGGUGGAAUUCUCGGUGUAGAGGUGAAAUUCGUAGAUAUCGAGAGGAACACCGGUGGCGAAGGCGGCCAACUGGACAGAUACUGACGCUGAGACUCGAAAGCGUGGGGAGCAAACAGG
This 253-nucleotide ribosomal RNA is filed under the name uncultured bacterium. Its description in RNAcentral is "partial 16S ribosomal RNA". It matches the Rfam family "Bacterial small subunit ribosomal RNA", at positions 524 to 776 of the family's 1533-position model. The record is from RNAcentral.